GGCAAUUGAAGCGGGAAAAGCUCAAAUUUGAAAGCUUUUUUUUUUAAAAGCGUUGUAAUCUCGAGAAAUGUUUUCCGGGCUGGACCAUGGACAAGUUCCUUGGAAUAGGAUGUCAUAGAGGGCGAGCACCCCUGUCUUUGCCAUGGACGCCCAGUGCUUUGUGAUACAUUUUCGAAGAGUCGAGUUGUUUGGGAAUGCAGCUCAAAAUGGGUGGUAAAUUCCAUCUAAAGCUAAAUAUUGGGGAGAGACCGAUAGCAAACAAGUACCGUGAGGGAAAGAUGAAAAGCACUUUGGAAAGAGAGUUAAACAGUACGUGAAAUUGUCAAAAGGGAAGCGCUUCAAGUCAGAUGUGUAGUAUGGUAUUCAGCCUUUUUGGGCGUUUUUAUCAAAUUACUAGCCAGCAUCGAUUUUGGUCUACGGAUAAGGGUGUGAGGAACGUAGCACCUUCGGGUGUGUUAUAGCCUUACACUGGAUACGUCGACCGGGAUCGAGGAACGCAGUGCACCCGCAAGGGCAGGUCUUUGGACACUUUUGCACUUAGGAUGCUGGCGUAAUGGCUUGAAGCGGCCCGUCUUGAAACACGG
This 584-nucleotide ribosomal RNA is filed under the name Kordyana sp. DOL-2019a. RNAcentral's name for it is "partial large subunit ribosomal RNA". It matches the Rfam family "Eukaryotic large subunit ribosomal RNA", at positions 88 to 664 of the family's 3401-position model. The record is from RNAcentral. Lineage: Eukaryota; Fungi; Basidiomycota; Exobasidiomycetes; Exobasidiales; Brachybasidiaceae.